CAACACUACGCCAGUUGCCCAUAUUCUGUCCAGAGUGUGAUACGAUUCUAUUUCCCUUCAGUCCCGAUGAGGAUCGACAGGAUACUCGUCCUGCUUCAUCUCAGGAGGCCUCAGCUGCAGGAAAUAGACCAGGCAUCGGUCAUUGGAGCUUUUCCAGUGUGAGUUCAUGUCUUUGAUGUUAACAUGCUGUGUGUGACAAAUGAGCAAACAAAAUGUUUUGCCCCCACUGAUAUGUCAUAUAAGUUUUAUUCAGAUACAACACAAUACAGGGAAUACAUGUGUUUUGAUCUUUUUUGUGUCUUGCAAUCCUGUAGACUGUUCUAUUUCCCCACACCCCCAAUGAGGAACAAGAGGACACUCAUCCUGCUUCAACUGUGAGUACAUAUUGUACCACUAUUUUUUUAUUAUUACUAUUGUACUCCCCUCGUGGUGGCGCAGUGACUCAAUCUGGGAGGCGGAGGACGAACCUCAGUUGCCACCGUG
This is a long non-coding RNA of Xyrauchen texanus (razorback sucker), 483 nucleotides long. RefSeq lists it as uncharacterized. The record is from RefSeq and is a predicted model, not a curated record. Lineage: Eukaryota; Metazoa; Chordata; Actinopteri; Cypriniformes; Catostomidae. The transcript has 3 exons.